GCUGCUGCUGCUCCAGCUCUCCGGAUCUCUCCAACAGCUGCUCCAGCUCCGAGAACCUCUUCUUGUACUGGAGAAUCUGGGGAUUGGGAGCUGAUGAGUCUUACUCUGUUGCCCAGGCUGCGGUGCAAUGGCGCGAUCUCGGCUCACAGUAACCUCCACCUCCCGGGUUCAAGCGAUUCUCCUGCCUCAGCCUCCCGAGUAGUUGGGAUUACAGACACACACCACUGCGCCCGGUAAGUAUGAGAUCUUCGGGCUCUGCCCCGACACAGCCUCAUACGCCUCACUCUUUACACACACGGUCACUUGCCCCGCGCACUCCCGAGCCCUUUCCAGCCCUGACACACAGCUGGGAUUCUCACUUCCGAUCCGCGGUCCUGAACCCGCUCCCAGGGCACGGGAACUCCUUCGUGGCGAAGCAGCAAGUGGCGAAGCAGCAGCCUCUGCGCUGCCUCAUCUACAUAGAAGUCGCCCUGUCCGUGAUGUCACCGACAGUGCCUUGCCCAGUCCCCGUCUGCCUUUCUGCCACUCAACCGACCAAUCUGCUGCCAGAGCCGCCAAGGGGAAGUGACGUCUGCCUCUCCCUUUUUCCCUCCCGCCCCUGCGUCUGUUCUCUCCCAAAGAAGCUGGUCCUUAGCCUGUGUUAAGGAGCAACCUUUCGGUGGCCAGAUGGAGCCGGGGCAUCCUUCUUCAAAUAAUGGCUUUUAAUUCGCAGACUAGAAUGUUUCGGAUUACAAAAGAAACCGGUUCUCUUCACAUCCUUAUCCUUGUGAUGCAGCAUUCCGCUUGCAAUUGGAAGCCGUUUAAUAUCAGAGAGAAACC
Molecule: long non-coding RNA, 819 nt
Organism: Homo sapiens (human)
Lineage: Eukaryota; Metazoa; Chordata; Mammalia; Primates; Hominidae
Source: Ensembl